Molecule: ribosomal RNA, 406 nt
Filed under: uncultured bacterium
Lineage: Bacteria
Description: partial 16S ribosomal RNA
Rfam family: Bacterial small subunit ribosomal RNA
Source: RNAcentral
AUUGAACGCUGGCGGCAGGCCUAACACAUGCAAUUCGAACGAGUGGCGGACGGGUGAGUAAUGUCUGGGAAACUGCCUGAUGGAGGGGGAUAACUACUGGAAACGGUAGCUAAUACCGCAUACCAUCAGAUGUGCCCAGAUGGGAUUAGCUAGUAGGUGGGGUAACGGCUCACCACGGCGACGAUCCCUAGCUGGGCUGAGAGGAUGACCAGCCAAACUGGAACUGAGACACGGUCCAGACUCCUACGGUAGGCAGCAGUGGGGAAUAUUGCACAAUGGGCGCAAGCCUGAUGCAGCCAUGCCGAGUGUAUGAAGAAGGCCUUCGGGUUGUAAAGUACUUUCAGCGGGGAGGCGUUACCCGCAGAAGAAGCACCGGCUAACUCCGUGCCAGCAGCCGCGGUAAUUC